Molecule: ribosomal RNA, 434 nt
Filed under: uncultured bacterium
Lineage: Bacteria
Description: bacterial SSU rRNA
Rfam family: Bacterial small subunit ribosomal RNA
Source: RNAcentral
UGAGGAAUAUUGGUCAAUGGGCGGGAGCCUGAACCAGCCAAGCCGCGUGAGGGAGGAAGACCCUAUGGGUCGUAAACCUCUUUUGUCAGGGAACAAAAGCGAGUAUGUAUACUAGUCUGAGUGUACCUGAAGAAAAAGCAUCGGCUAACUCCGUGCCAGCAGCCGCGGUAAUACGGAGGAUGCGAGCGUUAUCCGGAUUUAUUGGGUUUAAAGGGUGCGUAGGCGGCGGUGCAAGUCAGCGGUAAAAGCCCGGGGCUCAACCCCGGCGAGCCGUUGAAACUGCAGUGCUAGAGAAGGCGAGAGGUACGCGGAAUGCGCAGUGUAGCGGUGAAAUGCUUAGAUAUUGCGCAGAACUCCGAUUGCGAAGGCAGCGUACUGGCGCCUGACUGACGCUGAGGCACGAAAGCGUGGGGAUCGAACAGGAUUAGAUACCC